This 253-nucleotide ribosomal RNA is filed under the name uncultured bacterium. RNAcentral describes it as "partial 16S ribosomal RNA". It matches the Rfam family "Bacterial small subunit ribosomal RNA", at positions 524 to 776 of the family's 1533-position model. The record is from RNAcentral.
UACGGAGGGUGCAAACGUUGCUCGGAAUCAUUGGGCGUAAAGCGCACGUAGGCGGCCUGAUAAGUCGGGUGUGAAAGCCCUGGGCUCAACCCAGGAAGUGCACUCGAAACUGUCAGGCUUGAAUAUGGAAGAGGGUCGCGGAAUUCCCGGUGUAGAGGUGAAAUUCGUAGAUAUCGGGAGGAACACCAGUGGCGAAGGCGGCUCACUGGCCCGAUACUGACGCUGAGGCACGAAAGCGUGGGGAGCAAACAGG